RNAcentral lists this ribosomal RNA (375 nucleotides) under uncultured bacterium. RNAcentral describes it as "bacterial SSU rRNA". It matches the Rfam family "Bacterial small subunit ribosomal RNA", at positions 523 to 897 of the family's 1533-position model. The record is from RNAcentral.
AUACGUAGGUGGCAAGCGUUGUCCGGAAUUAUUGGGCGUAAAGAGCGUGUAGGUGGGAUAGUCAGUCUCAUUUAAAAGAUCGGGGCUCAACCCCGUUAGGGGUGAGAAACUACUAUUCUUGAGUGCAGGAGAGGAAAGCGGAAUUCCCAGUGUAGCGGUGAAAUGCGUAGAUAUUGGGAGGAACACCAGUGGCGAAGGCGGCUUUCUGGACUGUGUCUGACACUGAGGCGCGAAAGCCAGGGGAGCGAACGGGAUUAGAUACCCCGGUAGUCCUGGCCGUAAACGAUGGGUACUAGGUGUAGGGGGUAUCGACCCCUCCUGUGCCGGAGUUAACGCAAUAAGUACCCCGCCUGGGGAGUACGGCCGCAAGGUUGA